RNAcentral lists this long non-coding RNA (441 nucleotides) under Elaeis guineensis (African oil palm). Its description in RNAcentral is "long non-coding RNA (EGUI_LNC006537)". Lineage: Eukaryota; Viridiplantae; Streptophyta; Magnoliopsida; Arecales; Arecaceae. The record is from RNAcentral.
AUGGAUAUGCACCCUAUCCAAAUCCGAUCAAAUCCGAAAAAUAAGAUUUGACCGGAUUUAGGUUUGAAUUUGGGUAAAAUCUGAAAACUACAGCACAGAUAUGGGUAAGAUAUGGGUAAUGCUAUUUUUUAUCCAAACUCGAAUCCGAAUCCGAUCUAAACCUAUGGAUAUGGGUAAUAUCCGAAUCCAUAUCCGAAUAUAUAUGUUUAUAAUUCUGUUUUGAUAAUUCUGUUUUGAUUGACAAUAUGCAUAAAAUUAUUUUAGUUGUUUAUGUGUUCUAUGUUGAAUUGUAAUUCUAUUUUUAUGUUUGAUUUCUAGAAAUCUAGAUUUAUAAAUUAUAUUUUAUGUUGAAUUGGUAAUUCUGUUUUAGUUGAUAAUAUGCAUAAAAUUAUUUUGAUUGUUUAUUUUUUUGGAUAUGAGAUGCAUGUGAGGCGGAUAUGG